GAUGAACGCUGGCGGCGUGCCUAAUACAUGCAAUUCGAGCGAACAGACGAGGAGCUUGCUCCUCUGACUUUAGCGGCGGACGGGUGAUUAACACGUGGAUAACCUACCUAUAAGACUGGGAUAACUUCGGGAAACCGGAGCUAAUACCGGAUAAUAUAUUGAACCGCAUGGUUCAAUAUUGAAAGCCGGUUUUGCUGUCACUUAUAGAUGGAUCCGCGCCGCAUUAGCUAGUUGGUAAGGUAACGGCUUACCAAGGCAACGAUGCGUAGCCGACCUGAGAGGGUGAUCGGCCACACUGGAACUGAGACACGGUCCAGACUCCUACGGGAGGCAGCAGUAGGGAAUCUUCCGCAAUGGGCGAAAGCUUGACGGAGCAACGCCGCGUGAGUGAUGAAGGUCUUCGGAUCGUAAAACUCUGUUAUUAGGGAAGAACAAAUGUGUAAGUAACUAUGCACGUCUUGACGGUACCUAAUCAGAAAGCCACGGCUAACUACGUG
Molecule: ribosomal RNA, 497 nt
Filed under: uncultured bacterium
Lineage: Bacteria
Description: partial 16S ribosomal RNA
Rfam family: Bacterial small subunit ribosomal RNA
Source: RNAcentral